Molecule: ribosomal RNA, 468 nt
Filed under: uncultured bacterium
Lineage: Bacteria
Description: partial 16S ribosomal RNA
Rfam family: Bacterial small subunit ribosomal RNA
Source: RNAcentral
GACGAACGCUGGCGGCGUGCUUAACACAUGCAAGUCGAACGGAAAGGCCCUGCUGUUGUUGGAUGCUCGAGUGGCGAACGGGUGAGUAACAAGUGAGUAACCUGCCCUUGACUUUGGUAUAACGUCAGGAAACUGGGGCUAAUACCGGAUAGGAGCUCCUGCUGCAUGGUGGGGGUUGGAAAGUUUCGGCGGUUGGGGAUGGACUCGCGGCUUCUCAGCUUGUUGGUGGGGUAGUGGCUUACCAAGGCUUUGACGGGUAGCCGGCCUGAGAGGGUGACAGGCCACAUGGGGGCUGAGAUACGGCCUAGACUCCUACGGGCGGCAGCAGUGGGGAAUAGUGGACAAUGGGCGGAACCGUGCUGCAGGAACGCCGCGUGCGGGAUGACGGCCUUCGGGUGGUAAACGGCUUUGGGCUGUGACGGAGCGUGAGUGACGGUAAUAGGUAACGAAGCACCGGGUAACUACGCG